This 701-nucleotide ribosomal RNA is filed under the name Enterococcus sp. Its description in RNAcentral is "bacterial SSU rRNA". It matches the Rfam family "Bacterial small subunit ribosomal RNA", at positions 187 to 871 of the family's 1533-position model. Lineage: Bacteria; Bacillati; Bacillota; Bacilli; Lactobacillales; Enterococcaceae. The record is from RNAcentral.
CCACGGUUUCUAUUUUUAAGACGGGCCCGGCUAUCGCUACAAGAUGGACCCGCGGCGCAUUAGCUAGUUGGUGAGGUAACGGCUCACCAAGGCAACGAUACAUAGCCGACCUGAGAGGGUGAUCGUCCACACUGGGACUGAGACACGGCCCAGACUCCUUCGGGAGGCAGCAGUAGGGAAUCUUCGGCAAUGGGCGAAAGUCUGACCGAGCACCCCCGCGUGAGUGAAGAAGGUUUUCGGAUCGUAAAGCUCUGUUGUUAGGGAAGAACAAGUGUGAGAGUAACUGUUCCCCUCAUGACGGUAUUUAACCAAAAAAACACGGCUAACUACGUCCCAACAAGCGCGGUAAUUCGUAGGUGGCAAGCGUUGUCCGGAAUUAUUGGGCGUAAAGCGGGCGCAGGCGGUUUUUUAAGUUUGAUGUGAAAGCCCCCGGCUCCUCCGAGGAGGGUCAUUGGAAACUGGGAAACUUGAGUGCAGAAGAGGAGAGUGGAAUUCCAUGUGUAGCGGUGAAAUGCGUAGAUAUAUGGAGGAACACCAGUGGCGAAGGCGGCUCUCUGGUCUGUAUCUGACGCUGAGGCUCGAAAGCGUGGGGAGCAAACAGGAUUAGAUACCCUGGUAGUCCACGCCGUAAACGAUGAGUGUUAAGUGUUAGGGGGUUUCCGCCCCUCAGUGCCGCAGCUAACGCAUUAAGCACUCCGAAG